GACGAACGCUGGCGGCGUGCUUAACACAUGCAAGUCGAACGGAAAGGCCCUGCUUGCAGGGUACUCGAGUGGCGAACGGGUGAGUAACACGUGGGUGAUCUGCCCUGCACUUCGGGAUAAGCCUGGGAAACUGGGUCUAAUACCGGAUAGGAGCCAUUUUUAGUGUGAUGGUUGGAAAGUUUUUUCGGUGUAGGAUGAGCUCGCGGCCUAUCAGCUUGUUGGUGGGGUAAUGGCCUACCAAGGCGGCGACGGGUAGCCGGCCUGAGAGGGUGGACGGCCACAGUGGGAGUGAGAUACGGCCCAGACUCCUACGGGAGGCAGCAGUGGGGAAUAUUGCACAAUGGGCGCAAGCCUGAUGCAGCGACGCCGCGUGGGGGAUGACGGCCUUCGGGUUGUAAACUCCUUUCGCUAGGGACGAAGCUUUUUGUGACGGUACCUAGAUAAGAAGCACCGGCUAACUACGUG
RNAcentral lists this ribosomal RNA (465 nucleotides) under uncultured bacterium. RNAcentral's name for it is "partial 16S ribosomal RNA". It matches the Rfam family "Bacterial small subunit ribosomal RNA", at positions 28 to 507 of the family's 1533-position model. The record is from RNAcentral.